RNAcentral lists this long non-coding RNA (412 nucleotides) under Vigna radiata. RNAcentral describes it as "long non-coding RNA (VRAD_LNC013310)". Lineage: Eukaryota; Viridiplantae; Streptophyta; Magnoliopsida; Fabales; Fabaceae. The record is from RNAcentral.
ACCCAUCACUCACCACUACCCAAGCCCUCUCUUCACCUCCAACAACAUCCAUUACUGACCUUGGACCUUCUUCUCAAAUUCCUCCAUUCACGCAACAAAAAUGACCUUUAUUUACCCAAUUCCUUCACCCACACACUCAUGGCAGCUANCAACCCCCUUCCUACAUUAUAGCUCAUGAUCAUCUCCCAUCUCCAUACACACAUUACGACUCUCAUCCUCAACCUUCCAUUGGCACAAAGCCGCCUAAAACAGAGACAAUCAUACUCACACUAGUCAUCACCACGAUUCAUCCUCCAUUUUACUUGCCAACAUAUUCUUCAAACCAUANAUGAAAUUCACCUAGUUCCAUCCUCUAUCGCAGAAAAGCAAAGCCAAAGCAAAACCAAAGUACCCUCUCAUUCCCUCACUUCCU